Molecule: ribosomal RNA, 492 nt
Filed under: uncultured bacterium
Lineage: Bacteria
Description: partial 16S ribosomal RNA
Rfam family: Bacterial small subunit ribosomal RNA
Source: RNAcentral
AGUGAACGCUGGCGGUAGGCCUAACACAUGCAAGUCGAACGGCAGCACAGUAAGAGCUUGCUCUUACGGGUGGCGGGUGGCGGACGGGUGAGGAAUACAUCGGCAUCUACUUUUUCGUGGGGGAUAACGUAGGGAAACUUACGCUAAUACCGCAUACGACCUACGGGUGAAAGCAGGUGAUCUUCGGACCUUUCGCGCUUGACUGAGCCGAUGUCGGAUUUGUUAGUUGGCGGGGUAAAGGACGACCAAGGCGACGAUCCGUAGCUGGCCUGACAGGAUGAUCAGCACAACUGGAACUGAGACACGGUCCAGACUCCUACGGGGGGCAGCAGAGGGGAACAUCGGACAUAGGGCGAAAGCCUGAUCCAGCCAGACCGGGUAGGUGAAGAAGGCUUUCGGGUUGUAAAGCCCGUUGGUUGGGAAAGAAAAGCAGGAGGUUAAAACGCCGCCGUUCUGACGGUACCCAAAGAAAAAGCAACGGCUAACUUCGUG